AUGUCACCUUUGCGAUUCUCGCCGGGCCCAACGUGAGUAAGCCUUUUGGAGUCUCACGCGGCCUUAAAGAAAAAAAAAAAAAUGAGAGACAAUAUGGGAAGAAAAUCUUCAUCGCAGCUAUGGGGCAGGUAGCACAUGCAUCCGUGCUGGACCAUGUCUCCCUUGCGAUUCUCUCCUGGUCCAAGGUGAGUAAGCCUUUCGGAAUCUCACUUGGCCAACAAAAUCGUGAGACAAUAUAGGAAGAAAGUCUUCAUUGCAGCUGUGGGGCAGGUAGCUAGGCAUCGUGAAAUCUGUGUUGGACCAUGUCACCCUUGCGAUUCUCUCUUGACCAUGCGUGAGUAAGCCUUUUGGAGUCUCACUAGGUCAACACUACAACAAAAUCAAAUCUUUGUUUGUUUCAGCACAGAAAGAAAAAAAAAACGAGACAAAGGAAGAAAGUCUUCGUCGUAGCUAUGGGGCAGGAUAUCCUUGUCACCAUUCCGGUACUCCGUAGGUUGUUGUGAGUGAGCCUUUUGGAUUCUCAUUUUACCUUAUUGAGAUAAAAAAAGGGGUUGCCCAUAAUAGUUUUUGCCACAUUCAGGGACACCAAUACAGCCAUGUCGUUACCGUUACAAGUCCCUCUGGAUGAGCUGAGUGAGCCUUUCGGAUUCUCACCUCAUCCAUCAUCAGUCCUUCUGUUGCGUUCAAGUAUUCAUUUAUGUGAUCACUAGAAUAUGCGCAAACUUUAAAGCUAUAUUCGAAUUGUGUUUGAGUGUGGAAGUCCAACAGUUCACAAUUUCUUUCGGGUACGUCCAGCUGAAUAUGGUACCAUGAGUUAGAGGCUGAAUUUCCUUUUACUGGGGGAGUUUGUUACUUGCGAUGCACCGAAGCAGUUUAGAAAGAUGCAGAAGGACAUUGAUUCAAGGAAAAUAUCUAGAAGAAAAUUGGGAACUUGCUUUUGGUACUAUGAUCUUCAUCAAUGUCUGAGUAGGUGUUGUGUCUGGAAACAAAGCCACUAGCAAUAUUGUUUUAGUAAGUUCAAGAACAUCAGGAUGGGGAAAACACUCAUAGAAUGUUUUAUAUUAUGGUUGCCCAGGGUUCAAGGUUCAGCUAUCGAGUCUGCAGGUAAUUCUGAUGAAGAUGAGGAUGCACCUGCAGGCACAAGGAAAAGUUUUUUGCACAACUACUGACAAGAGAACAGAUAGCAGCACGACUUGCUGAUACUGAAAGAGCAUGGCUCAUAGGAGCUUAGUGAAGCCAACCAGCAUAAUCAGUUCCCAAAAGACAGUGGUUGACUAGAUAAAUAAUCGGAACGUUGGAAGAACCACACUUUAAAAGCUGGCUCAUGAGGUUGAGGAGCUUGAGAUCAAUGAGAAUUCCACAUUGGAACCUAUCCUCCCCUAUAUGGGACUCAGAGGAAGAAGAAGAAUGUUGAUAAAGGAAGAAGAGUGUUGAUCAGAGUAAAUAUUUUGGGAAGCGCAGGACCUUUGAGGUGGUGAACGAAGAUGAUGUCAUUUUUUUUUUUUGGUUUGGGCCUAAAAUGAACUGUAGAUUGAUAGAAGCCCAAAGAAACAAAAGAGAAAAUGUCAAGCCCAAUAAGCCACCAUUUAAGACAAGGCCUGGUCCACUUCGAGAUGAGCUUCCAAGCUAAGCAUGUGCUGAGUUGGCAAGAGUAAAGCCUUAAGACUCGAAAUGACUAAGCGUGGAAGGUCUUUAUUUGGACGUGAGGCCAUUACCUCAGCAUGUCCCAUAUCUCGCCAGAUCAUGCCAUGUAUAGCAAAUAUUUCGACAUAUGGGCUUUGGAUGCUGUGGGACCAACAGACUCAAACAAGCAUUACAAAUAGAUGCCAAUAGAUGAAAAUCGCAGCAGCAAGCUCAUGAUAUACAA
This is a long non-coding RNA of Prosopis cineraria, 1867 nucleotides long. RefSeq lists it as uncharacterized. NCBI's taxonomy places the organism in Eukaryota, Viridiplantae, Streptophyta, Magnoliopsida, Fabales, Fabaceae. The record is from RefSeq and is a predicted model, not a curated record. The transcript is spliced from 6 exons.